AACGAACGCUGGCGGCAUGCCUAACACAUGCAAGUCGAACGAGACCUUCGGGUCUAGUGGCGCACGGGUGCGUAACGCGUGGGAACCUGCCCUUAGGUUCGGAAUAACUCCCCGAAAGGGGUGCUAAUACCGGAUAAUGUCUUCGGACCAAAGAUUUAUCGCCUUUGGAUGGGCCCGCGUUGGAUUAGCUAGUUGGUAGGGUAAAAGCCUACCAAGGCGACGAUCCAUAGCUGGUCUGAGAGGAUGAUCAGCCACACUGGGACUGAGACACGGCCCAGACUCCUACGGGAGGCAGCAGUGGGGAAUAUUGGACAAUGGGCGAAAGCCUGAUCCAGCGAUGCCGCGUGAGUGAUGAAGGCCUUAGGGUUGUAAAGCUCUUUUACCCGGGAUGAUAAUGACAGUACCGGGAGAAUAAGCUCCGGCUAACCCCGUG
This 433-nucleotide ribosomal RNA is filed under the name uncultured bacterium. RNAcentral's name for it is "partial 16S ribosomal RNA". It matches the Rfam family "Bacterial small subunit ribosomal RNA", at positions 29 to 507 of the family's 1533-position model. The record is from RNAcentral.